RNAcentral lists this ribosomal RNA (891 nucleotides) under uncultured soil bacterium. RNAcentral describes it as "bacterial SSU rRNA". It matches the Rfam family "Bacterial small subunit ribosomal RNA", at positions 61 to 948 of the family's 1533-position model. The record is from RNAcentral.
GUCGAACGGCAGCACGGGGGCAACCCUGGUGGCGAGUGGCGAACGGGUGAGUAAUACAUCGGAACGUGUCCUGUAGUGGGGGAUAGCCCGGCGAAAGCCGGAUUAAUACCGCAUACGAUCUACGGAUGAAAGCGGGGGAUCUUCGGACCUCGCGCUGGAGGGGCGGCCGAUGGCAGAUUAGCUAGUUGGUGGGGUAAAGGCCCACCAAGGCGACGAUCUGUAGCUGGUCUGAGAGGACGACCAGCCACACUGGGACUGAGACACGGCCCAGACUCCUACGGGAGGCAGCAGUGGGGAAUUUUGGACAAUGGGGGCAACCCUGAUCCAGCAAUGCCGCGUGUGUGAAGAAGGCCUUCGGGUUGUAAAGCACUUUUGUCCGGAAAGAAAACAUCCUGGCUAAUACCUGGGGUGGAUGACGGUACCGGAAGAAUAAGCACUGGCUAACUACGUGCCAGCAGCCGCGGUAAUACGUAGGGUGCGAGCGUUAAUCGGAAUUACUGGGCGUAAAGCGUGCGCAGGCGGUUCGCUAAGACCGAUGUGAAAUCCCCGGGCUUAACCUGGGAACUGCAUUGGUGACUGGCGGGCUAGAGUAUGGCAGAGGGGGGUAGAAUUCCACGUGUAGCAGUGAAAUGCGUAGAGAUGUGGAGGAAUACCGAUGGCGAAGGCAGCCCCCUGGGCCAAUACUGACGCUCAUGCACGAAAGCGUGGGGAGCAAACAGGAUUAGAUACCCUGGUAGUCCACGCCCUAAACGAUGUCAACUAGUUGUUGGGGAUUCAUUUCCUUAGUAACGUAGCUAACGCGUGAAGUUGACCGCCUGGGGAGUACGGUCGCAAGAUUAAAACUCAAAGGAAUUGACGGGGACCCGCACAAGCGGUGGAUGAUGUGGAUUA